RNAcentral lists this ribosomal RNA (550 nucleotides) under Bifidobacterium longum subsp. suillum. RNAcentral's name for it is "bacterial SSU rRNA". It matches the Rfam family "Bacterial small subunit ribosomal RNA", at positions 146 to 711 of the family's 1533-position model. Lineage: Bacteria; Bacillati; Actinomycetota; Actinomycetes; Bifidobacteriales; Bifidobacteriaceae. The record is from RNAcentral.
UCUCCUGGAAACGGGUGGUAAUGCCGGAUGCUCCAGUUGUUCGCAUGGUUUUUUGGGAAAGCUUUCGCGGUAUGGGAUGGGGUCGCGUCCUAUCAGCUUGACGGCGGGGUAACGGCCCACCGUGGCUUCGACGGGUAGCCGGCCUGAGAGGGCGACCGGCCACAUUGGGACUGAGAUACGGCCCAGACUCCUACGGGAGGCAGCAGUGGGGAAUAUUGCACAAUGGGCGCAAGCCUGAUGCAGCGACGCCGCGUGAGGGAUGGAGGCCUUCGGGUUGUAAACCUCUUUUAUCGGGGAGCAAGCGAGAGUGAGUUUACCCGUUGAAUAAGCACCGGCUAACUACGUGCCAGCAGCCGCGGUAAUACGUAGGGUGCAAGCGUUAUCCGGAAUUAUUGGGCGUAAAGGGCUCGUAGGCGGUUCGUCGCGUCCGGUGUGAAAGUCCAUCGCUUAACGGUGGAUCCGCGCCGGGUACGGGCGGGCUUGAGUGCGGUAGGGGAGACUGGAAUUCCCGGUGUAACGGUGGAAUGUGUAGAUAUCGGAAAGAACACCA